CUUUGCGAUUGGUGUCCUGGAUUUCUUGGUUAAGAUUUUUCCAGGAUUGGAAGAUGCAGCCGAGUUUGGGAAGAUUGGACGGUACUAUGCUGCAGAGAGUAUGUUGAUUCUGGAUCCCGAGACAGGGGAGUACAGUUCUGAUAAAACGCCUAGCUAUGGGAAGGACACAUUGGAAGAGUUCUUUGAGAAGGUUCUACGUGAAGGAAUGGCAGGUCAAGAAUUGGGGGAACAGACAAUUUUUUGAACGAUUGGUGCUGUGAAGGAAAUGGGUUCAAUUACCAAUAAUUGGGUUAGGCAGCUUCAGUUUUGUAACAUUAUCUCACCUAAAGUUGCGGAUCCUUACCCGGAAACUGAUCAAGCACCUGUAUAAUCUGUGAGUAAGAUAUGUAUGUAACGAUUGAUUCUUACUGCCAAUGCACACAUUCUGUUAUUCAUAACUUUGAAGUUGUUGAUGUCUCGUGCACGGUAUUCACCACAUUGCAUAAAACUAUGGAUUAGAUGUUAGAAAUGAUUCGAAGAGUAAUAAGUUGCAUAAAAAAUUUGGUCCGAUGGCAGAAACAUAUGCUGGUAGUGGAAAACUCAUGAAGUAAAAAAAUCAGAAUAUCAAAUGCCCUUGACUAAUUAUUACUGCUUUGUGAAUCCUUGCCUGUUGAAUUGUUGAGGCCUUCUGUAUUCUAGUCGUGAUCCGUUUGGAUAGUUGCAAUUCUUGAAGUUACUUUUAAUGUGGUUCUGGAGGAACAAUUUGAACAGUUUUGAGAUUGACCUUAGAUGCAUUAGAAAAAAUGGAAACAUGAGAAAAAAGAAAUGCCUUGCUAAAGCAAGAGGAGGUUGGGGUUUUGUAAUAUGGCUGUCUUUGGCAAAGAACUUUUUGUACGGAUGGUUCUUUUUUAUUUCCUUAUUAUUUUGUGUUCAUGUUGUGACCCUGGCAUGUUCAGCGAAUAGCUCAUUCUGACAUUUUAUUUGCAGUAGACACUUCUAGGCAACCCAAAAUCUUUGCAGAAAGUCUCUCGGUGAGCAUCAAGGUACUUGUGGAAGUCUGAUACACAUCUUGAUGCUGCUAGCUAAAAACUUGGUGUUCUUGCUAGAUGUCAUAUAUUGAAUUUAGGCCCGAAUGAAAGAAUUUUCAACAUGUUCUAGAUUUUAGGAAUUCUUUGAGACCAUUUACACCUGCAGUUCCCGUUCCUGGGCAUAGGAGUUAGGUCAGAACUGGAAUAUGCGAGUAUGACACCAUAACAAGUCCCAAAGCAUACUCUUGUUGCUUGCGUCAGUUGGUCAUUUCAUUUUGAAAUUUUCCCAGGAUUGUGAAGUAUCUUUUCGUUAGAUAUGGUCUAUAUGCCAACCUGAGUCAAAACAGGAAAUUUGGAAGGUGUCAUGCUGGGAAAAAAUGGUUGAAAGAGCUAAAAGAGGAUGAUUUUGCUGCAAGCCAAUAUCUAGGUGCUAAGAAUCGAUAGACUUGAAUGAGCAUACCUCUCCAUUGGGUUUCUCCUUGUUUAGCUUUGUGUCAUGUAAAUGCCAUUCGUGUUAUAUCAGAACAAGGACCUUCUGUGGAAGGAGUUUGUAAUGCCCACUUCUUGCUGAAUCAAUGGCAUUGCUUUGGCCAGUAUCUUCUCCUCAAAAAAAACAAAAAAAAAAUCGUCAUUAAAUGUAAUUCUUCUUGGACAUAAAGAGUCAAAGAGUGAUGGUUCUUGGUCAAAUCGGUCAACCUAUUUUGCGUUUCUUUGCUACUUCAUGCUUUGUAUAGGGCCUCUAAAAACCAAUCACUUUGGUCCUGGUUAAUUCCUGUUUUUCACAUAUUUUGAUAUAUGGUGCCCAGCAAAAUGUUCUCUUCAUGAACCACUCGUCUUGUGAAAUUUGAGACGAGCUCAAAUGUAGAUAGAAUGUUAGAACCCUUGACGAGUGGGGAACAAUAUCUGAUGGGCCCGUUGUAAGAAAAAGAUGGUACAUCACUAUAAAUACCAGAACAAGACGUAUGCAGUGAAAAUACAGAGGACAGAUGCCCCCUUUUUUUAUUCACGAGCAGAACACAUCUAUGAUCUAUCUACCUGUAAUUGAGGUACAAAACAUGGACAACAUUUUCGCAGGGGGAUCAUGAACGGCGAGGCCAAAGUCACACUCAAAGUGUGAGAUUUCUACUGUGGGAUCUUCUUUUGCAGAGAGAGGAUGGAGAGGAUGAUGAGGAGGAUGAGAACCAAAGCAGCCAGGAUCGAGACUGCAAAGGAGGUCUCAAGGUGCUGACAGAACUUGUCAUAGACAUUGCAAGACUCGUCCCGUCUCUCAUGGCUGUUCCCCUUCAGCCAUAUGUAGGCAACCCCUCCUGCUGUCCCCGUUGCUGAGGCCACUAAUCCCAGCAUCACCUGGGCAUUUCACAACACAGUUUGAUCAAUCUCAGUGCCACACUGAGCUUGCUCAUGAAUUAUGAGACAUUCGUGCUCUGGGGCUGCUAGAAAAGCACGGUCCAUUCCUUUACUUAUCGCGGUUUUAAAGGAGAUACUCGAACAAAAGUUUGUUCAUUUACCAAAAGAACCAAAAAAAAAAAAAAAAAAAAAAAUAGAGUGCUAAAGUUUGGUGCUUGAGAGCUCACCACAUCCGAGACCACAAAGAAGAGGAGGAAGCUGGCUGAGAAGGCCGGCUUCAAGACGACCGAGAUGGACGCGAGUGCCGUGAUGAUGCUGUAGAGGCAAGCCACUGAGAAAGCCACUACAAAGUAUCUGCACAGAAAUUAACUACUGUAAAAAAGGUGAAAUUAUUCUUGGAAAGCUUGAUUGUUAUUUAAGGAUUACGGCGAAUAAACUGUCAUCCAAACAAGAUCGGUUCUUGCAUGGGUUCCAGGUAGGGAAGGGUUCAGUUACUUGUCGCACUACGCUAUCCGAGAUGACUUCCACACAGUUGCGAGUGCAUAGUACUAUUGAUUUUAUCAAUUACAUCGAAAUAAAAGUAAGUUAUUAGGUUUCUAAGGAGGACCGCUCACUUCAUAAAUGUGUGAAAAGUGAUUGAUUUGGUCGUUGAUUUAAUCUCUCGUCUUCAUUUUUGUUCGUUAUGGGGCGACGGCUUCCAGAGGACGUAAAACUAAUGGUCAAAAUUACAUACGAACAACUCGUCACGUGCAUAGACCUUGACAUUUUGUCUACUGCAUUGGUAUUUAUUGUCGCAGCUCAUGUUCUUUGUUCUUACAAGGCACCCCGGAUUAGUAAGCCACGUCGAACCAAUCGAUGGACAUGUUAUUAAAGUCUUGGCAAUCAAAAAGUUUCUGGUUUUAUUUUUCUGGACAGUUAAAUUUCGAUUAUUUGGAUUCUUUGGCACGUUUACGGCAUAUCCCAGGCAUAUAAUCAAGACUAAUAAUAGUUCGUUUGACGUAAAAUAUCCUUGUUUUCCCUGCAAAAGUUGCAGAAAGAUGUUCUUCAAGAACUUCACUUGUGUGGGACACUUUUUCACUGUUUUCACUGAAAAGGAAACAGAACCAAGAACUUAAGCACACGCACGUAAGAAAAUAACGCAUGAUGAUAUCUACGGGUGGUUUAAACAUCUCUCUGAUAGAGACUAUUCAGUAUGGCAAAACUAGCAUCAAAAGGGGAAAGAAAGAGUCAACUUCUUGAUGGGUAUAAACCAACUUCUGCGAGUAAGACGGAGAGAGGUAUGAUCGAAAUGAACUACAACCCUAACGACGAAGGAAGGGAUUGGUUCGGGCACGCUUCGAGGAGCGUAGCAAUCGGUGUUUGGCAUCUUCUUAAUUAGGCAAGGAAGAAGUAGCUAGCAAAAGGAGUGAGAAGUAGAGCUAGGAUGCAAGGGAAGCUGGGCAGGUCUAGAGUCUUUAGAUUUUUCAAAUCCCUUACUCAAAAACAGUUAGAGAUGCAUGGAACCUUAUGAGUAACUAGCGACUUACAUGAAAGCAGAGUAGUUAUCGAACUUAGCCUCCGCAAGUGCCCCUGAGAAUGGUCCUGGAAAAGGAUCUUCUCUCGUUUGCUUGCUAAAGACCAUGACCAAGAGCGCGAUCAGCGUCAAAGCAAACAGCAACCCUCGAAGAGCCGUGAGCAAUCUUGCCACGUGUGGAGGACCUGCGGGCGGAGGCGGGACCUCCACUUUUGGCGGUGGCGCCUCAGCUGGCUUCGCCGCCUCAGGAUCGGCUACUUCUUCUUGGGUUGACAUGGUUGCUCUAGGUGUAAGCUGGGCUUGAGUCUGUGGUUAUGGCCGCAAUAGAUGCUUGGUCUAUUAUAUAUACAUGUAGAAGUGGCAACGACUCGAUUCUUUUAUAUUUUAAUUUAUCUGUUUUUGGGUUGAAUAAGGAUGUGAAAUGUGAAUGAUUUUGGUUGGUUGGAGUACCAGGUACGCAAAAGCCAGAUUGGAUGGUUACAUAUUCUUGCAUCUAUCACUGAGUUGGAAGGGUCGACCCGGACAAAUGAGAAGACCAAAGAACUGUGGACACGCGCAAUAACGACGGUCAAGUUCAACGGAGUGCUUACGAAGUACUUGAGAUGAAGUUGGGUUUCCUAAAUAUCUAGUCCGAGCAUUAAACCAGCGCGAAUUUAGGAUUUAGUACACAUGAUGACUAGAGGAUAUUGUCAUCAACCAAAUAGAAGGAUAUUACUAGGGCCGUCAAAUGGGUGAGUCAGGUUAGGUGGGGCUUGAUCUCGUUGAUGUUAGGUAAGCUCGGCCUUACCAUAGACCGACAAGGCUUGAGCUCACUGAUGAGGCUCGACCUCAUUAGAAUUUGGUGAGCUCAGGCCUCGCCGACUUAUGGCAAGGUUCGAGCUCGCCUGUGGCUGGUCGUUGGCCACGGCUGCCUUCAACUGGCCAAUGAAGAAGAAAAAGAAAAAGAAAAAGAAAGAAAGGGAAUAAAUAAAAAAAAGAAGAAGAAAAGGAAAUUGAAAAGUAAUAGAUUUAUUGUAUUAAUUGAGGAAGUUUUUUGUUAGGUUAUUCACUUAAUAUUGAAAAUGGAUUCUGACCCAUUUUCGACCAUAUAACUCAGCUUAGAACUUUUUGGACUCAUUUUAACUAGGCUUUUGUAUCUUCAUAAUCCACAUGCAAUCUAUUAAUAUUAAAUGAGUCAAAAAGUUUUGAAUAGAAAAAUCGUCUUUCGCUUGGGCCGUCCCUAGAGAUCAUUGCGGUCUUCUUUUCGUAGCCGAGGUCUGGCGACAGAGAUUGUGAAUUAUGAGGCCACGAGAAAUAGCCUUCUUGCCGGCAGGAAAUUCGGGGCUGCGCAUUUCGUGUUGCUUUCUGCUAUUUGCGUGCAAAAGCACCUUCUUGAGGUUCAGGUUGAGUUGGUGAAGGAUGGGAAGCCUUAUGUCAUGUUUGGAGACGGAAAGUUUGCGCUUGUAAGCCAAUUAGUGAGCCGGAUUUAGCUUCUUUUAUUGCAGACUGUGUUUCGAAUGAAGACAAGAUAAACCAGGUUUCGCCAAUUGGUGGGCCAGGGAAGGCUGUGACGCCUCUCGAGCAAGGGGAGAUUUUGUUUAGACUUUUGGGGAAGGAGCCCAAGUUCUUGGAAGUGCCGAUCGAGAUUAUGGACUUUGCGAUUGGCAUCCUGGAUUUCUUGGUUAAGAUUUUUCCAGGAUUGGAAGAUGCAGCCGAGUUUGGGAAGAUUGGACGGUACUAUGCUGCGGAGAGUAUGUUGAUUCUGGAUCCCGAGACAGGGGAGUACAGUUCUGAUAAAACACCUAGCUAUGGGAAGGACACAUUGGAAGAGUUCUUUGAGGAGGUUCUUCGGGAAGGAAUGGCAGGUCAAGAAUUGGGGGAG
RNAcentral lists this long non-coding RNA (5728 nucleotides) under Eucalyptus grandis. RNAcentral describes it as "long non-coding RNA (EGRA_LNC005154)". The record is from RNAcentral. Lineage: Eukaryota; Viridiplantae; Streptophyta; Magnoliopsida; Myrtales; Myrtaceae.